RNAcentral lists this ribosomal RNA (1795 nucleotides) under Balaenoptera acutorostrata scammoni. RNAcentral describes it as "SSU rRNA". It matches the Rfam family "Eukaryotic small subunit ribosomal RNA". Lineage: Eukaryota; Metazoa; Chordata; Mammalia; Artiodactyla; Balaenopteridae. The record is from RNAcentral.
CCUGGUUGAUCCUGCCAGUAGUUUAUGUUUGUCACAAAGGUGAAGCCAUGCAUGUCUAAGUACGCAUGGCCAGUACAGUGAAACUGCGAAUGGCUUAUUAAAUCAGUUAUGGUUCCUUUGGUUGCUUGCUCCUCUCCUACUUGGAUAACUGUGGUAAUUCUAGAGCUAAUGCAUGCUGAUGGGUGCUGACCCCCUUUGUGGGAGGAUGCGUGCAUUUAUCAGAUCAAAACCAACCCCGUCAGCCUCCCUCCGGCCCCAGCUUCGGGGUGGGCCCUGGCGGCUUUGGUGACUCUAGAUAACCUCUGGCUAAUCUUGCACGCCCCCCUUGAUGGUGACAACCCAUUCAAACGUCUGCCCUAUCAACUUUUGAUGAUAGUUGCCAUGCCUAUCAUGGUGACCACGGGUGACAGGGAAUCAGGGUUCGAUUCCAGAGAGGGAGCCUGAGAAACGGCUACCACAUCCAAGGAAGGCAGCAGGUUACCCACUCCUGACACAGGGAGGUAGUGACGAAAAAUAACAUCACAGGACUCUUUCAAGGCCCUGUAAUUGGAAUGAGUCCACUUUAAAUCCUUUCCUGAGGGCAAGUCUGGUGCCAGCUGCCGUGCUAAUUCCAACUCCAAUAGCAUAUAUUAAAGUUGCUGCAGUUAAGAAGCGGGAGCGGGCAGUCCGCUGUGAGGCGAGCCACCGCCCGUCCCGCCCCUUGCCUCUCGGCGCCUCCUUGAUGCUAUUAGCUGAGUGUCCCACCACCCGAAGCAUUUACUUUGAAAAAAUUAGAGUGUUCAAAGCAGGCCCGAACCUCCUGGAUACCACAGCUAGGAAUAAUGGAAUAGGACCGCGGUUCUAUUUUGUUGGUUUUCGGAACUGAGGCCAUGAUUAAGAGGGACGGCCGGGGGCAUUCGUAUUGCGCCGCUAGAGGUGAAAUUCUUGGACCAGCGCAAGAUGGACCAGAGCGAAAGCAUUUGCCAAGAAUGUUUUCAUUAAUCGAGAACGAAAGUCAGAGGUUUGAAGACCAUCAGAUACCUUCCUAGUUCUGACCAUAAACUGGCGGUGCAGUGGCGUUAUUCCCAUGACCUGCUGGACAGCUUCUGGGAAACCAAAGUCUUUGGGUUCCAGGAGGAGUAUGGUUGCAAAGCUGAAACUUAAAGGAAUUGACGGAAGGGCACCACCAGGAGUGGAGCCUGAGGCUUAAUUUGACCCAACACGGGAAACCUCACCCGGCCCGGACAUGGACAGGAUUGACGGACUGAUAGCUCUUUCUCGAUUCCGUGGGUGGUGGUGCAUGGCCGUUCUUAGUUGGUGGAGCGAUUUGUCUGGUUAAUUCCGAUAACGAACGAGACUCUGGCAUGCUAACUAGUUAUGCGACCCCCGAGCGAUCAGCGUCCUCCAGCUUCUUAGAGGGAUGAGUGGUGUUCAGUUACCCGAGAUUGAGCAAUAACAGGUCUGUGAUGCCCUUAGAUGUCCGGGGCUGCACGCGCGCUACACCGACUGGCUCAGCGUGUGCCUAGCCUACGCUGGCAGGCGCGGGUAACCCAUUGAAUCCCAUUUGUGAUGGGGAUGGGGGAUUGCCAUUAUUCCCCAUGAGUGAGGAAUUCCCAGUAAGUGUGGGUCAGAAGCUUGCAUUGAUUAAGUCCCUGCCCUUUGUACACACCGCCUGUCGCUACUACUGAUUGGAUGGUUUAGUGAGGCCCUCCGGCCAUGCUGGGGUCGGCCCUGGUGGAGAGCUGAGAAGACUGUCAAACUUGACUAUCUAGAGGAAGUAAAUGUAGCAAGGUUUCCAUAGGUGAACCUGUGGAAG